Molecule: ribosomal RNA, 1122 nt
Filed under: uncultured bacterium
Lineage: Bacteria
Description: bacterial SSU rRNA
Rfam family: Bacterial small subunit ribosomal RNA
Source: RNAcentral
AAUCAUUUAUGCUUGCAUAAAUGAUUUUUGGAUUCGGAGCGAGUGGCGAACUGGUGAGUAACACGUGGGUAACCUGCCCCGAAGCGGGGGAUAACAUUUGGAAACAAAUGCUAAUACCGCAUAAUUAGUCAGAACCGCAUGGUUCCGACUUAAAAGAUGGCUCUGCUAUCACUUCGGGAUGGACCCGCGCCGUAUUAGUUAGUUGGUGAGAUAAAAGCCCACCAAGACGAUGAUACGUAGCCGACCUGAGAGGGUAAUCGGCCACAUUGGGACUGAGACACGGCCCAGACUCCUACGGGAGGCAGCAGUAGGGAAUCUUCCACAAUGGACGAAAGUCUGAUGGAGCAACGCCGCGUGAGUGAUGAAGGGUUUCGGCUCGUAAAACUCUGUUGUUAAAGAAGAACAAGCAUGAGAGUAACUGUUCAUGCUUUGACGGUAUUUAACCAGAAAGCCACGGCUAACUACGUGCCAGCAGCCGCGGUAAUACGUAGGUGGCAAGCGUUGUCCGGAUUUAUUGGGCGUAAAGCGAGCGCAGGCGGUUUUGUAAGUCUGCUGUGAAAGCCCUCAGCUCAACUGAGGAAGUGCAGUGGAAACUACAAAACUUGAGUACAGAAGAGGAAAGUGGAACUCCAUGUGUAGCGGUGAAAUGCGUAGAUAUAUGGAAGAACACCAGUGGCGAAGGCGGCUUUCUGGUCUGUUACUGACGCUGAGGCUCGAAAGCAUGGGUAGCGAACAGGAUUAGAUACCCUGGUAGUCCAUGCCGUAAACGAUGAAUACUAGGUGUUGGAGGGUUUCCGCCCUUCAGUGCCGCAGCUAACGCAUUAAGUAUUCCGCCUGGGGAGUACGACCGCAAGGUUGAAACUCAAAGGAAUUGACGGGGGCCCGCACAAGUGGUGGAGCAUGUGGUUUAAUUCGAUGCUACGCGAAGAACCUUACCAGCUCUUGACAUCUUCUGCCAACCUAAGAGAUUAGGCGUUCCCUUCGGGGACAGAAUGACAGGUGGUGCAUGGUUGUCGUCAGCUCGUGUCGUGAGAUGUUGGGUUAAGUCCCGCAACGAGCGCAACCCUUAUUAUUAGUUGCCAGCAUUUAGUUGGGCACUCUAGUGAGACUGCCGGUGAUAAA